This 274-nucleotide long non-coding RNA is filed under the name Elaeis guineensis (African oil palm). Its description in RNAcentral is "long non-coding RNA (EGUI_LNC063705)". The record is from RNAcentral. Lineage: Eukaryota; Viridiplantae; Streptophyta; Magnoliopsida; Arecales; Arecaceae.
GGGGGUGGUAAUUUUAUUUUGAUGUGAAACCUAGUGGACAUAGAGGACUCUUUCUAUAAUUGAAACUAUUCUAAGUUGGAUAAGAACCCAAUUAAAUUGGAUCCAAUCUCAUUAGGUCAACGAUAAUUGGUCUAGUUUAGCUCAAACACUUUGAACUGAACCAAUUUAGAAACUUGGAUUGAUACAAUGUGCUAGCAUAUCAAAUUAAUCCUUAAAAUUUAUAUUAAAUUCUAAUUAAAUUAGACUAAGAUUAAAUCUCAAUGUGUGUGACCCA